This 1774-nucleotide long non-coding RNA is filed under the name Olea europaea subsp. europaea. Lineage: Eukaryota; Viridiplantae; Streptophyta; Magnoliopsida; Lamiales; Oleaceae. The record is from RNAcentral.
UCUUUGUUCAAAUUUUGGAUUGACCCUUACAUCUUUAUAAAAUAUCAUUUCUUUAAUACAAAUAUGAGUAUGAAAAAUUUUGUAAUACAAUCUCCCGUCAAUCCAUAACAUUCAAGACACUAACAUUACUUUCAAAAUCACACAACUCGUGCAUUACACGAGCCAAAAACUAGUAUUAGGGAUAAAGCCCCACUUCACAUUGCCAUGCAUCUUGCUCAUAUCUGACCUCAUAGUCAUAAACCCAAGCUUCCCAUUAAUCCAUCUUUUAAGAAAUGCAUCUGUUAUAUCCAAAAAUUACGUGGCAUACGAAUGAUGGAGGGGUCCUACAAUGGUCGACGGGACAUCACCUAGUUUACAAUUCAUAUUUCAAGUCCGACCGGCAUAUAAAUAAUACGACUCAAAUUUCGAGGAUGUUGUUAUACAUAUUUCAUAUUAGGCCUCAUUAGACUUGGCCCAUUCCUUGAACCUGUUUGGCCCACCUCAAUUUCUAUAUAUAUGGGUUCACUUCGCAACAUAAGAUACGUUUAAAAACCCGAACCAAACCCCCUCUCCCGUCUGGACACUCUUUAUUUUCUUUUUGUCCGACCGUUGACUUGAUCGUCGGAGUGCGAACGGUCGCCAGACAUUUUUUAUAGACGGCCUUUGCAUCCUAACGGGGUGUUCCGUACGUAGGUUUGGAGGGGACAAUGUCGGGAUUCUGUUGGCACAUUUUUUUAGGUCAACUGAUUGGCGCGGUAUGUGGAAAACGGUACUAGCCAUGUUAUACCAUGUACAAAAAGAUCACCAAAAAUUUCCAUUUUUCCGAUUAGUUUCUCUACCGAAAAAAGAGGCAUUUUCUGGGCAGAUUGUUCUACCAAAAAUCAUGAGGUUAGCCAGGAAAAAUUUGAAGAAAAACACUACUGAAAUGGGAAUUUUUGAACUAAAAAACCAGCUGCCAAAAGGAUAUUGGAACAUUCACUAUCAAAUCCCUUUCCCACCACUCACAAUUAUAAAAACCAAACAUUCUCAAAAACCCACCUUGUUAAUGUGCAAAAUCAUCCUACAGAAUCUUCUCUCAAAAUUUCAAAAGUCAAGUUUCUUUUUUUUUUUUUUUUCAACAAGAGGACUCACUUUGUUAAGAGUUCUCAAUGUACAAUACGGUGGAUGCGAACUCUUCGGCCAUGAUGUAGCUUCAAGGUACUAUCAACAAAAUCACCUGCAGCCUCCGUUUAUGAUCGUUGAGGCAGCCGACUAUAGCAGUCGGCCGAUAGCAGUACAACAGGUGACUGGAAAUGAGGCGAAAUUAUCUUCACGAGGCUUGGAAAUUUUCAAUUUUGACUUAGAGCCCGGGAUGGAGAAUGGGUUUUAUUAUAAUGUCUAAAGUGGAGGCCUUCGGCGAGGUUCACGAGGACAAACAUCUGGUAAAGGCCGCAAUCCUCAUCAUUCAAGAAGCAAUACCAACACUGGUCCAUGGAUCUUUCACGCUAUUAAACUUUGAUGGAGACAUGAACGUUAUAGUGGCGUGUUCGGAUAGAGACGGGUCAUUCAUUUCUACUUUUGGCAGGCAAUUUUGGUUGGCAUGAAAACAGGUUACUCAUUCUUAUGUCCUUUUUUGGCUGAACUUUCUCUCCAUGUUUUGACUUUUUCACAAGCCAUUUAAUGUUUCUCUUAUUGGGCCGGGUUAUUCCAUUGAAUCACUGAAUAUUCCUCUUAAAUUGUGGCCCAAUGAGUUAAAGAAGUUGAAAGGGCUUGAAGAUCUCUUUUGGGCUUUGUUUUUGGAUUAUGCCAGUUGGAC